Molecule: ribosomal RNA, 429 nt
Filed under: Chloroflexota bacterium
Lineage: Bacteria; Bacillati; Chloroflexota
Description: Chloroflexi bacterium partial 16S ribosomal RNA
Rfam family: Bacterial small subunit ribosomal RNA
Source: RNAcentral
UGGGGAAUAUUGCACAAUGGGCGCAAGCCUGAUGCAGCCAUGCCGCGUGUAUGAUGAAGGCCUUCGGGUUGUAAAGUACUUUCAGCGGGGAGGAAGGGAGUAAAGUUAAUACCUUUGCUCAUUGACGUUACCCGCAGAAGAAGCACCGGCUAACUCCGUGCCAGCAGCCGCGGUAAUACGGAGGGUGCAAGCGUUAAUCGGAAUUACUGGGCGUAAAGCGCACGCAGGCGGUUUGUUAAGUCAGAUGUGAAAUCCCCGGGCUCAACCUGGGAACUGCAUCUGAUACUGGCAAGCUUGAGUCUCGUAGAGGGGGGUAGAAUUCCAGGUGUAGCGGUGAAAUGCGUAGAGAUCUGGAGGAAUACCGGUGGCGAAGGCGGCCCCCUGGACGAAGACUGACGCUCAGGUGCGAAAGCGUGGGGAGCAAACAGG